Molecule: ribosomal RNA, 812 nt
Filed under: uncultured organism
Description: bacterial SSU rRNA
Rfam family: Bacterial small subunit ribosomal RNA
Source: RNAcentral
UCUGCUUAACACAUGCAAGUCGAACGCAACCUUCGGGUUGAGUGGCGGACGGGUGAGUAACGCGUGAGAAUCUGCCUUGGGGUCGGGGACAACCACUGGAAACGGUGGCUAAUACCGGAUAAGCCUUUGGGUAAAAAAUUUAUUGCCCCAAGAGGAGCUCGCGUCUGAUUAGCUAGUUGGUGAGGUAAAAGCUCACCAAGGCAGCGAUCAGUAGCUGGUCUGAGAGGACGAUCAGCCACACUGGGACUGAGACACGGCCCAGACUCCUACGGGAGGCAGCAGUGGGGAAUUUUCCGCAAUGGGCGAAAGCCUGACGGAGCAAGACCGCGUGAGGGAGGAAGGCUCUUGGGUUGUAAACCUCUUUUCUCAGGGAAGAAGCUCUGACGGUACCUGAGGAAUCAGCCUCGGCUAACUCCGUGCCAGCAGCCGCGGUAAUACGGAGGAGGCAAGCGUUAUCCGGAAUUAUUGGGCGUAAAGCGUCCGCAGGUGGCGAUUCAAGUCUGCUGUCAAAGCACGGGGCUUAACUCCGUUAAGGCAGUGGAAACUGAAUAGCUAGAGUGCCGUAGGGGUAGAGGGAAUUCCCGGUGUAGCGGUGAAAUGCGUAGAGAUCGGGAAGAACAUCGGUGGCGAAAGCGCUCUACUGGACGGCAACUGACACUCAGGGACGAAAGCUAGGGGAGCGAAUGGGAUUAGAUACCCCAGUAGUCCUAGCUGUAAACGAUGGAUACUAGGUGUAGCUUGUAUCGACCCGAGCUGUGCCGAAGCUAACGCGUUAAGUAUCCCGCCUGGGGAGUACGCACGCAAGUGUGAAA